CUCGCUUCACGGCUUCCCUACGGCACCGACAACGGUCGCACCGUGGCCGACACCUAGCGAGUAUCGUUUACGGCUAGGACUACCCGGGUAUCUAAUCCGGUUCGUGCCCCUAGCUUUCGUCCCUUGCCGUCAGGUCCGUUCUGGUGAGACGCCUUCGCCACUGGUGGUCCUUCAAGGAUUACAAGAUUUCACCCCUACCCCUGAAGUACCUCUCACCUCUCCCGGCCUCGAGCCGAACAGUAUCUCCUGAAAGCCCAACAGUUGAGCUGCUGGAUUUCUCAAGAGACUUAUCCGGCCGGCUACAGACCCUUUAGACCCAAUAAUAACGGUUACCACUCGAGCCGCCGGUGUUACCGCGGCGGCUGGCACCGGUCUUGCCCGGCCCUUGCUAUGCAAUGCUUUUUAUGCAUCACGACAGCCAGAUUUGUAACCUGGCACUCGAAGUCCCCUUAUCGCC
Molecule: ribosomal RNA, 457 nt
Filed under: uncultured archaeon
Lineage: Archaea
Description: partial 16S ribosomal RNA
Source: RNAcentral